Molecule: ribosomal RNA, 433 nt
Filed under: uncultured bacterium
Lineage: Bacteria
Description: partial 16S ribosomal RNA
Rfam family: Bacterial small subunit ribosomal RNA
Source: RNAcentral
AGCGAACGCUGGCGGCAGGCCUAACACAUGCAAGUCGAACGAACUCUUCGGAGUUAGUGGCGGUCGUGUGGGUACCACCUGGGAACGUGCCUUUUGGUUCGGUAUAACUCAGGGAAACUUGUGCUCAUACCGAAUGUGCUCUUCGGGGGUAAGAUUUAUCGCCAUUAGAGCGGCCCGCGUCUGAUUAGCUAGUUGGUGAGGUACCGGCUCACCAAGGCGACGAUCAGUAGCUGGUCUGAGAGGAUGACCAGCCACACUGGGACUGAGACACGGCCCAGACUCCUACGGGAGGGAGCAGUGGGGAAUCUAGCGCAAUGGGCGAAAGCCUGACGAAGCCAUGCCGCGGGAAUGAUGAAGGUCGUAGGAUUGUAAAAUUCUUUCACCGGGGACGAUAGUGACGGUACCCGGAGAAGAAGCCCCGGCUAACUUCGUG